This 4922-nucleotide long non-coding RNA is filed under the name Salvia miltiorrhiza (redroot sage). Its description in RNAcentral is "long non-coding RNA (SMIL_LNC012455)". The record is from RNAcentral. Lineage: Eukaryota; Viridiplantae; Streptophyta; Magnoliopsida; Lamiales; Lamiaceae.
UGGUUUCUCUUAUGCAUAUCAUAGAUCGCCUUGAAAAACAUCCUUCCCCUCCAAUUUCUAUCCACAAACAGCAAGUUGAAUCUCUCACUCAAAAUGUUAUCUUCUUGCAGGAUUUUCUUGAUGCUUAUAUUUCCCCAGUUGUGGAUGGCCAUGAAGCGGAUCCAUUGGAGCGUCGCAUUGCUGAUGCAGUUUAUGCAGCUGAGGAUGUCAUCGAAUCCCAAAUUGUGCUUCAAAUUGAUAAUCGACCCAAAAUUCCUGGGAAGAUGUCCAGUUUUAUCAACUUGUUUCGAGCUCGGUGCAAAUGCGCAACUAUUGAUAGAAAUGAAUUGGAGGUCGGUGUAAAUGCAGCUGAGGACUUCUAUCACGAUCUGCAACAAGUGAUAGAAGAAAUGAAUUCGAUCUCAACCGCAGCUGAUCAACUGCAGAGAAAGGUCUCCUCAACUCAUGCUGCCUCCUCUUCCACUGUUAUCAAGAAGGAUGUCUUGGAGAUUGUUGCCGCAGCUCAAUUGCCGAGAAAGGUCUCCUCAACUCAUGCUGCCUCCUCUUCCUAUGUGAAGGAAAGCAUGAUGGUGGGCUUCAAGGAGGUGUUACUUGAAGUGCUGGAUAAGCUCACCGGAGGCCAACGCAGUCGCCAAAUCAUCCCAAUCAUGGGGAUGGGCGGCAUUGGUAAGACCACUCUUGCCCGACAUCUAUUUGAGCAUGCGCUUGUUAAAGAGCAUUUUGAUAUUUGUGCUUGGACUACAAUUUCUCAAACUUAUAAUGUCAGAGAAACACUUAGAGAAGUUCUUUUCCAAGCAAGUGGGGAUUCGGGUAGUGAUCUGAAUGAGGUUGAAUUGGGAGAAAAAUUGUAUAAGUAUUUAUACGAUAGGAGGUAUCUCAUAAUUAUGGAUGAUAUGUGGAGUAUAGAGGUGUGGGACAAGAUCAGGUCUUCCUUUCCUGAUUGCAAUGAUGGGAGUCGAAUCAUUGUAACAACUAGGCUGUCAAACUUGACUUCACAGUUGGGUGAGUCUUAUGGCGUUGGUAUGAAAUUUCUAGAUGAGGCUAGUAGUUGGGAUUUGUUCACCAACACUGUGUUUGGGGGAGAAAGUUUCCCUCAUGAGUUGGAGAACAUCGGAAAGAAUAUUGUAGCAAAUUGUAAAGGGCUUCCUUUAUCAAUUGCUACAAUUGGAGGUCUUUUGGCAAAAUCUGAGCGUACAAGAGAAUAUUGGGUGCGUAUAGAGCAAAAUUUAAAUUCAAUUGUGAUUACGAAUAAUGAUGAAUUUUGCUUGAAAAUAUUGCGAUUGAGCUAUACCUAUCUGCCCAACUAUUUGAAGCCAUGUUUUUUGUAUAUGGGUGUUUUUGAGGAAGAUCGUAGAAUUCGUGUCUCAAUGCUGAAGAAGCUAUGGGUUUCUGAAGGAUUUUUGAAACCCGUGAGUGGAAAAUGUUUGGAAACAAUAGCAGAUGAGUACUUGAAGGAGUUGGUAGAUAGAAAUCUGAUUUUAGUUGAUAAGUUGGGGGAGUUUAGUGGAAAUAUAAAGUUUUGUAAGAUUCAUGAUUUGUUGAGAGACUUAUGCUUGAAAGAAGUUGAAAAAGAGAGGUUUUAUGAUAUCAUAGAAAAGUCUCCUUCAGUCAUAGACAAUGAACGCCGUCGGGUUGUUUUCAAAAAUGCUGGAAGAAGGGAAAUACGUGAAGUCUCGAGAUCUUUGUCACAUGUUCGUUCUAUAAUAUGUGAUGAAGAUGGGAAAAACUUUGUAAGGCCUCACAAUUUCAGAUUGUUGAGAACAUUCAAAGCAUAUGAUAGAGAUAGUUAUCCAUUUGGAGAUGAUGGUGCUCAUUUCCUAGGCGAUGUUUUUCAAUUGGUGAACUCACGGCACCUUGCUGUUAGAGUUCAUAGUAAGCCAAAAUUCCCGUCUUCAAUCAAUUUGCUUUGGAAUCUAUCUACGUUAAUAGUUCAGCAGUCUGCAUUCCAUAAGUCUUGGGAUAUGAAAAGAUGUUGUAUUGUUACUCGUUGGCCUGUUCUUAUUGCACCGAUUGAGAUUUGGAAAUUGCAUCAACUUAGGCAUCUCGAGUUUGUGGGAGGGGCAUUGAUUCUCCCAGAUCCUCCGAGUGAGAUGGUUAUGAUGGAGAAUCUACAAACGCUGAGAGGAGCAAAGAAUUUGUAUUUGAAUGAGGAUGUGGUUAAAAGAAUCCCCAAUGUGAAGAAACUGCAUCUAAUUUACGAUGCCAAAGAAAUGGAGGGUUGUCUCAUCAAGAGUUUGAGUGAAUUGAAACAAAUGGAGAGAGCAAACUGUUUGAGCUAUCUUGAGUGUCUGAGUAAAUUGGAAAAAUUGUACUGCCACUUCUCUUUUGAUUGUGGAUAUGAAGAGUAUUUGCAGAGGAUUAGUUUCCCACACUCCCUCAAGAAGUUGAACUUAUCUCUCAUUUACUUUAUCAUCUGGAUUUGGAAGAGAUAUUGGAAAAGAUAGGGUGGUUGCCCCUUCUUCACAAGUUAGUAUUACAAUUUGGUACCUUCCAAACAGGCAAGUGGGACACUAUUGAGGGCCAAUUCCGGAGCCUCAAGCUACUAGAAUUGGACUGUUGUCAUGGUCUAAAAAAUUGGACGAUGGCAGAGAGAUUUCCAGUUCUCCAGGAGCUUCGUCUUCGAGAUUUGGUGCAAUUGAAGGAGAUCCCUUCAGAAGUUGGAGAAAUAGCAACGCUGAAAUCAAUUGAUUUGAGAUUUUGUAGUGAAUCAGCGGUAGUGUCAGCUAAAAGGAUAUUAGAAGAACAAGAGGAUUAUAUGGAGACCAACUUGACCUUCAUGUUCGAGCUCAAGUUCGGAUCACACGUACAAGCGAAAGACUGCAGAGCUUGGCAAGUCCCAACUUUGAAGUUAUAUAGUGAGUUAUUCUUAGAAUCAUCCAAGAUUGUUAGUUACGAGUUUAGACCUUUUGUUUUGUGAGCUUAUAAAACUUUGAGCUUUUGCUGCUUCAAGUAUAAUAUACUCCCUUUGUACCACUACGUAUGGCUUCCUAUUUCUAGGCACAACUACUGAGAAAAAGAGCGAUUAAAGUAUAAAAGUGAUGAAUAAUAGUGGAGCCCACAACUUUUUGUAAAAAUGAGUGGCUUUCGUUUUUGGAAUGUGCCAUUAUUAAUGGGACAAACGAAAAAGAAAAGGGAGCCAUUAUUAAUAGGACUGAUGAAUCCCUUAAUUUGUGUUUUGGGCUCUUAAAAGUGCUCUUCACCAUGAACAUUAAAUUUAAUAACAUAAAAUUAAGUGAAAUUAAAAUUUAAUAGAUAUGUAAAAUUAAUUAUGUAGUUUUAAUUUUUUAUGAUAAUAGUACCUUGAAAAUAUAAAAAUAAAUUGCAUGUGACAUAUAAAGAAUAUAUGUACAUAAUUAGUUAAUUAGUUUUUUAAUUAUUUGCCAAAAAUAGAACUGGACAUUACAAGACAUUCCAUUAUAGACAUUUGUAAUGUGACAAAGAGAGUAUUAUUUUAAAUAUGUCCAAGUUUCUUCUUGAAUCAUUUUUUUUUUCUUUUCGUGAUGGGACCAACUUGGUCAGCAAUGAUGGGAUUAAAGGAUCAAAAGUCUAGUCAAUAGGUCAAUAUUUGGUCAAAUUGGUAGUCUAUUGAUUUUCUUCUUUUCUACAAACUAGUAUUAUACCCGUACAUGCACGGUAUGAAUAUUUUCUUUUAAGUUUUUAAUUUAUAGGAAGUAAUUCAUAAGGUUAUUGUUGAUACAUAGAGUGCUAUCCCGAGAAAAAACUAUAAUAAAUAAUAAUAUACACUAAUUCAUAAGGUAUAUACACCACUUGUCACCCUAACAUUACAUUUAAAAAAAAAACACCUAGUCGAUCCUUAACAAUUUUUUAUGAAGUGCUUAAAGCUACUAACAUAGUAGUGUAAUAUUUUGCGAGAGCAAAUUAAGCAAAUUAGAUCAUUUUUUCUUUUCUUUUUGUAAAUAUUUAUUUUCAAACACUUCAUAACAUGCUUAAUUUAUAAGCUUCAAUAUCUUAUAAAAUGUUGCUAAAUUUUAUUAUGACCCUAAAGUGAAGAAUGAGAAGCAGAAUGCAGUCUGUUUGGGCCGACCCAAGACUUUGAUGGUUGGGCUAAAAGUAAAGUUCCCAAACCUGAGCCCAAGGCCCCAAAGCAAAACUUGGACACCAACUCUAAACUAAUCCUCCUAUCUUCUAGUAUAUUUUUUUAGCCCAUAACUGAAAUUAUAAGCUGCAAAAUAAAUGAAAUAUAUUCUUUCAAAAAUGAGAAAAUUGAUAAUAUACUAUUAAAAAGAUAACUUCUAAUUUGAAAUCAAUUUCAAAAUUAAGUGGUAAUUUUUUUUAUCUUUUUAUUUGUUUGUUUUAUUUAUUUCUAAAAUUAUGAAAUUUGACUAAAUAUGAAGUAUAUAAUAUGAUAAUUGCGACGAAGUAGAUAGAAAAUUAAGAAAAUUCAACGCAGAAUUUUCUUUUGAGUCCACACGUAUUUAAUAUGUGGUCCUUUCUUUAACACUAGCCCCGAAAUUAGGUAGAACCUUAUCAUGCUCUUAUGGCCUUAUAUAUUGCCAGAGUGGUUGGGGACUAUAUCUGCCAGCUAUAAAAACUUCCAUAUCUCAAUUGUGGAAUCAUAAUAUAUACUAUACCAGAUUGCUUGCCUUCUUCACCUCUCAAAUACUAUCUCAUAUAUAUAUUUUCAUUCACACUUCCCAUAAAUAUAUACAUUAUUAACUCAAAGAGUUAAUCAUGGCGGCUUAUGGAGCUCUGGUUUCUCUUAUGCAUAUCAUAGAUCGCCUUGAAAAUCAUCCUUCCCCUCCAAUUUCUAUCCACAAACAGCAAGUUGAAUCUCUCACUCAAAAUGUUACCUUCUUGCAGGAUUAUCUUGAUGCUUAUAUUUCCCCAGUUGUGGAUGACCAUGAAGCAGAUCCAUUGGAGCGUCGCAUUGCUGAUGCAGUUUAUGCAGCUGAGGAUGUCAU